AAACCAGCACCUCAAGUGGUCAGGAUGAUUAUUGGGCCUAAAGCAUCCGUAGCCGGCUCUGUAAGUUUUCGGUUAAAUCUGUACGCUCAACGUACAGGCUGCCGGGAAUACUGCAGAGCUAGGGAGUGGGAGAGGUAGACGGUACUCGGGAGGAAGUGGUAAAAUGCUUUGAUCUCUCGAUGACCACCUGUGGCGAAGGCGGUCUACCAGAACACGUCCGACGGUGAGGGAUGAAAGCUGGGGGAGCAAACCGGAUUAGAUACCCGAGUAGUCC
RNAcentral lists this ribosomal RNA (274 nucleotides) under uncultured bacterium. RNAcentral's name for it is "partial 16S ribosomal RNA". It matches the Rfam family "Archaeal small subunit ribosomal RNA", at positions 473 to 747 of the family's 1478-position model. The record is from RNAcentral.